UAGUGAUCUUAUCCUUCCACUCUCAAUUUUUAUUUUUUUUCUUUUAUAAUUUCAUAGAAAGAAGUUAAAUGCAUUAAUAUAUUCCUUCCUCCAAAACCCAGCAAUUCUAUAUAUAUUAACUCAAAAAACUUUGAAGUUUUUACUUGUAAAUCAUAGCCCUCUUCAUCUUCUUCUUGAUAUAUUAACUCAAGAAACUUUGAAGAACAGAAGAAGCUAUCUGCAGUUUCUUGAUUUCUUUUUUUACUAGUUAUAACCUUCUUUAUCUUCUUCUUUGAAGCAUUGGGUCAUGGCUGAAAACCUAAGAAUCGUAGUUGAAAAGAAUCCCUCAGAGUCCAAACUCAAUGAAUUAAACAUCAAGUGCUGGCCCAAAUGGGGUUGCUCUCCAGGAAGAUAUCAGCUAAAAUUUGAAGCAGAAGAGACAUGCUAUCUGUUGAAAGGGAAGGUGAAAGUAUACCCAAAAGGGUCAUCAGAAAUUGUGGAGUUUGGUGCAGGAGAUCUUGUCACCAUACCUAAAGGACUCAGUUGCACUUGGGAUGUUUCUGUUGCUGUCGAUAAAUACUACAAAUUUGAGUCAUCU
RNAcentral lists this unclassified non-coding RNA (577 nucleotides) under Hevea brasiliensis (rubber tree). The record is from RNAcentral. Lineage: Eukaryota; Viridiplantae; Streptophyta; Magnoliopsida; Malpighiales; Euphorbiaceae.